Coregonus clupeaformis (lake whitefish) is the source of this 828-nucleotide non-coding RNA. Lineage: Eukaryota; Metazoa; Chordata; Actinopteri; Salmoniformes; Salmonidae. The record is from the annotation of a RefSeq genome assembly.
GAGCCUAACACACCACCUCUCUCUCCGUAUAAAAAGUGGACUGUCUGUCUCAGAGUCAGUUGGAGUAAAGAAGAGCAGCACCCACCAGUUCAGCUUCAGCUUCCAACCAUGUUCCCUGCAUCUCUGCUGCUCCUGCUGGCAGCUGCCUCCUGUAUUCAUGGUCAGACGCUGACUGAGUCUGGACCUGUGGUUAAAAAGACUGAAGAAUCACACCAACUGACCUGUACAUAUGAUGGAAUCUCAAACGAUAACGCUGCCAUUGGCUGGAUCAGACAGGCUCCUGGGAAAGGGCUGGAGUGGGUUGCUUUUAUUUCCGCUCCAAGUGGUAGUACUAUCUCCUACUCCCAGUCUGUUAAGAAUCGGUUCACCAUCUCCAGAGACAACAGCAAACAGCAGGUGUAUCUCCAGAUGAACAGUCUGAAGACUGAAGACUCUGCUGUUUACUAUUGUGCCAGAGACACAGUGACACAGGAGGCUGCAGCACUGUACAAAAACUGAUCAAGCACAUCUCUCACUGGCAGAAUCAAAUGUGAUGUGAGACAGACAAACUAAGGAUCCAGCAUAAAUUCCAAGUUUAUUGAAAGCAUAUCAUUCCUCAUCAACCUCAAUGCAGCUUAAUCCACUCCUCUGGCCAUGUGCUGUUAGUCAGUACACAUCUAUCUUCUUGAUGACAGCUUAUUUACAUUCAUCUGUAUAUCAACCUAAUCAUAUUCAGAGUUUGAUUUACUGGUAGGGAUUAAUGUCCUCAUUAAGCAUAAUGAAAUAUAAAAGCAUAAUUGUGAUAGCAGAAUUUAUCUGUUAACUAAAAAGAGUAAUGGGUCAUGUAUA